Armigeres subalbatus is the source of this 2515-nucleotide long non-coding RNA. RefSeq lists it as uncharacterized. Lineage: Eukaryota; Metazoa; Arthropoda; Insecta; Diptera; Culicidae. The transcript is spliced from 3 exons. The record is from RefSeq and is a predicted model, not a curated record.
ACUAUACAAAAACAAUAAAAUUCAUGGGAAACAAUAGAAAAUAUUGUUUACGAAUUGUAUGAUUUUUCGAACAAAUAAACUCAUCUAAUGUAUUUACAAUAAAAAUACAAUAAUUUAUAUUUUUUCGAAAAUGUGUAUUGUACAUAUAAUACAUUUACAAUAUUUUUUGUUGUUUGCCACAUUUUUGUUUGUUGUUUUGUUUUCUAAUAUUGACGAAAAUUUGUGCUGUUACUUGAAGAGAAUGCAGAAAUUUACAAGAUUGUGAGAAUCCUGCGUUUGACGAUGCCAAAAAGGUGUAGUUCAUCAUCGGACGGCGGCUGCAAAAUCCGCGAAAUUCAGAACCGCUGCCGGGUGUCGGUGCCGAUAGGCAAGCAGUGCAACGGGAACGGCCAGAACAAUGUGUCGAUGAUGGGGAUCGAACAUUUACCGGGCGAGAGACAUGAUUGACCGGAUCUUCAAUGACGAUCGCGACCGGGAGGAACAUCACCCCGACUAAAGUGGUUGGAGGUGAGCGUGACGUUAUAGUCAUUCGCUCAACCACCGCUCCCCAAUCCUACCCAGAGCGGAAAAUUGUUUCAACGUCCAACGUGUGCGAUUUGUGAUACGUCACCUAAACUUAAAGGCUUAGGUUCAGAAAGAACAGGUUUAAAAUUACAGCAAACGACAAAAUAGGUUCGAUUUAACAAACAACAUACAGCUGAAUAAUAAGGAGGAGCAAGAGGAGGAGUAAAAGAUUUGCAUUUAUAAUUUCCCGCUACUCAGAUAUAAACAUUUAAAACAGACGUAGAAUUCAAACGAUGCAGUACCGUCGCGAAAGCUAGGGACAGCUUACGUUUAAAUUUGAACUAGUUACUAAUCGAAAAGAUUACAAACCGCGAGGCCGAAGUGGAACUUUGACCGCCUGAGCGAGGGUGAAGAAUACUUUCGGAUGAACGAGAAAUUUUCACCGGCGGGCCACGAAAUAGAAUAAUGUUAAUUUUUCUUUAAUCCUGGUGUUAACGUGGUCUUCGGAAGGAAAGUUGACGCAAAUCUCCGAAUGCACGGGAGUUCAAAUCCGUCAAGGCUUCCUAGGUAAAGGUGUCAUCUUUGGGCCGAUGUCCACAUAGCGUUUUUUUCAACGCUGCGUGCACGUGCCGUUGAAGAAACGCAGGUGUGCAUUGGUGCGGGGACUACGUGUGCAUCGAGCUUUUAAUGGUGUCCGAUGCGCUACUGUAAUCGACCAUGAAAAAAUUCUGUAUCGCCUUGCAAAUCACACGCUGUGCUGAGGCAACUAAAUCGCAUGCUGGAAUACAAGGAGCUCCACCUGAUUUUUUUGGAUAAUAAUGCCUCAUGAAGGAGAUACGGAACUGGACAUAUUUAUGUAGGCAACAAAAUUGUUUGCUCAGCGCCAAGUUGGUACACACGUCGUCGAGGAUGACUACGAAGGAAAACAGGAAGGUAAACCGGAAUUGAGCUACUCAGACCAAGAGGACAAUCUAGAUUUCAAGGCCACUCGCAAUGAAAGCAGAAAAGGGUCGGUGUGUGUAUCCGGGAAUCGGCCAUAAAAAGGAAGAUGGGACGAAAACACCUGAAACUACAGUACUUCAAGCGAAUAUUUCUUCCGCUUUCAGUUAGUUUCCGCUUUACAUAGAGUGUUCAAUCGAAGUGCUCGACCAAACGGUGUAGCUGCAAGAAGUUGAAUGAAAUUAGAUAAUGCAUUGCUAAAGAAUAUCGAAUAGCAAAUAGAGAAGAGAUUUGUUGAAACUACGGUAGGAAAAGAAAAAUUAGUUGAUAUAUAUAUGAUAUAUAUCUAUAGAAUAGCGUCCGUUAACGCUCGCUGAUUAACCGUAAAUUGCAAUGUUCAUUACGUAGAUAAUAUAUUGCAUUGAUGGUAGGGCGAUUUGAUUUUUACGCGGAUUAUUGUUUAUGUAACAAAAGAAUAUUUGUAUUUAUGCUUGUCCAAACAUCAGCGCCCUUAAACUUUUUGAACCAUACAUAGGUGCAUGUUUGUUUAUGCAGCAAUCACUCAACGAUUGGAAAUCAUAUAACAGUUACGAGAAUAUACAUAACAGAAAAAGAAACAAAAGAAAAAUUUGCUGGAUUCGGCAUCAAUUGUUUUUAUCAACUACUAUCAUUAUAUAUAUACUAUUACUUGUAUCAUUAUAUAUAUAAAAACUUCUAGUUAUUAGUGUUAUAUGCUGAGUUGAGGAAAUAAAAUUGACAUUACAGUAUACAUCAUGCCGUAGUAUAAUCUCAUUGACAAUAUAUUCUAUUUACAUUUAUUAAGCAAUAAUUCCACGAAAAAAACUACGUUUUACUGUUUUACAAUUAAUUAACAAUAAGCCUUUUUUAUUAGAAAAACAAUUGAUUAACAAUAAAUGUAAUAGUUUUGGUCAAAGAACUAUAACAAUAUCGAAACAAUAGAAAUAAUUGUUUUGUGUUCUAAAAUGUAUGAGAAAAAAGGGAUUUUUUUAUUGUUACGGUAACUAACAACCCACCUUUUUUAUUGUAAAAGUCUCAAUAACAAUAAAUUGUA